This is a non-coding RNA of Meleagris gallopavo (turkey), 141 nucleotides long. Lineage: Eukaryota; Metazoa; Chordata; Aves; Galliformes; Phasianidae. The record is from RefSeq and is a predicted model, not a curated record.
UGCGCUCGCUGCGAUCGUGCCCGUUUCCAGGUGCCAUAAGCCAGACUCGCGCAGUCCUGGGAGACUGAGACUUGGGAGACAGUGCAGAAACCCAAGGCAAGUGCUGCUCGGCUGAGGAAGAAAGCCAAGAAGGAAAGCAAA